Non-coding RNA from Tetranychus urticae (two-spotted spider mite), 1192 nucleotides. The record is from RefSeq and is a predicted model, not a curated record. Lineage: Eukaryota; Metazoa; Arthropoda; Arachnida; Trombidiformes; Tetranychidae.
CAAUUUUAAACAUUUUAACAAUAUGUUAACCAUUAAUGAAAGUAUUUUUGAUUUUAUUUUCUGAUUUCUCACACGAGAAAAGUAAUCAAGCAAUCAAAGACAAAUUAUGACAAUUAUACCUUCUUAAUACAGUUUUCACUGGUCAGCUGGCUAUGCCAGUUUGAUGCCCUUUAUACCUUUAGCUUUGGGAGUCAUCAUUCGGCUUGAUUUUUACUUUUCCUUCUGUUGAUGUGUUAAAAUAAUCAUUUAAUCGUGAGUAAUCAUUAAUUAAUGAUAAUUAUAAGUUCAAUUAAUGAUUAAUGAAUGCAAUCUAAAUUUAUAUUUAAUCUAAAGUUGAAAUCACUUUACGUCCAACAGUUAAAUCCUUUCCUUCAUCGGAUGGAAGGCAAAAAAUGGCUUCCCAUGCUUUCUCCUAUCCAUUCAAUCCUUUCUUCUGUGUUUGUGUAAAGUAAUUGUUUUUUUUUAUUAACAAAUCAAUUUCUUGUCGAUAUUUAUGUCAAUAUAUUUUGAUACCUUUAUUUUAUAAUCACCAUCAUCAUCAUUCUCACAAGUCAAACUAGUCAUCAUGGUUUAAGUAAUCAUCAUCAUCAUCAUCUUGACUUUAACUGACAAUCAAUUGGCAAUAACUUUUCAAAUCAACACCGUAAAUAUAAUAUGUAUAUUUAUAUGUGGGUUAUACAUGGUACAUCAAUUGACCCUGAUCUUGGAUAAAGCAAAAGGGAACACAAAAGGAAACCAAAGAUGAAAAAAGAUGACUUCUUGCUCUCUCCCGAUCUUUUCUGGCCAUCAUAUUUUCAUCUUCAUUUACAACGAAGAAAAAAAAUAUGAUGAAAAGAUAAAAUCAGCACGAGCAUAAACUUGUUAUUGUUAUUAUUGGUAAAACCUGAAUUGAUUUAUUGACUGGUCAGAUGAAUGUGUAACUGACAACCUUUUACCUUUCAUCAGCUUUUUUUAUCAUCACUCUCAUCUUCUGGUUCAUUCAUCUUCAGGCAUUCAUCUUAUUCUCCAUUUGAAACAAUUAUCGAUCAUCAUCAGUGCCUUACAUUAUCAUAUUUAAAAUUAUGACCAUUAUGAAUGGUAAAUAUUGACCAUCGUGAAAUAAGAUUCACCUAAUGACAAGCCUCCAACAACAAAGGGACCAUGAAAUAAACAAACAUAUCACUGUCAAUGUGAUUAUUUUUCAUGACUAUUA